UAGGUGUACGAAGCGAACCCGGAGAACUGAAACAUCUAAGUACCCGGAGGAAAAGAAAUCAACCGAGAUUCCCUUAGUAGCGGCGAGCGAAAGGGGAUUAGCCUGUAAGUGAUAGUAGAAGUGUUAGUGGAACAGUCUGGAAAGUCUGGCGAUACAGGGUGAUAGCCCCGUACACGAAAACUCUUUUAUGGUACUAAGCUUACGACAAGUAAGUCGGGACACGAGUUAUCUUGACUGAACAUGGGGGGACCAUCCUCCAAGGCUAAAUACUACCAACUGACCGAUAGUGAACUAGUACCGUGAGGGAAAGGCGAAAAGAACCCCGGAGAGGGGAGUGAAAUAGAACCUGAAACCGUAUGCGUACAAGCAGUAGGAGCAGACUUGUUCUGUGACUGCGUACCUUUUGUAUAAUGGGUCAGCGACUUAUUUUCAGUGGCAAGGUUAACCGAAUAGGGGAGCCGUAGGGAAACCGAGUCUUAAUAGGGCGUCUUAGUCGCUGGGAAUAGACCCGAAACCGGGCGAUCUAUCCAUGGCCAGGUUGAAGGUGCCGUAACAGGCACUGGAGGACCGAACCCACUAAUGUUGAAAAAUUAGGGGAUGAGCUGUGGAUCGGAGUGAAAGGCUAAUCAAGCCCGGAGAUAGCUGGUUCUCCUCGA
RNAcentral lists this ribosomal RNA (656 nucleotides) under uncultured bacterium. Its description in RNAcentral is "bacterial LSU rRNA". It matches the Rfam family "Bacterial large subunit ribosomal RNA", at positions 167 to 862 of the family's 2925-position model. The record is from RNAcentral.